Betta splendens (Siamese fighting fish) is the source of this 1496-nucleotide long non-coding RNA. RefSeq lists it as uncharacterized. Lineage: Eukaryota; Metazoa; Chordata; Actinopteri; Anabantiformes; Osphronemidae. The record is from RefSeq and is a predicted model, not a curated record. The transcript has 3 exons.
ACAGACACUAAAGGCAAAACACAGCGGAAGAAGAAAUGAGACAAAAGAGGUAGUGAUGGUGGGAGGAGGCCGUCUUCAGAUGGACGUGGCUAUUAAUGAUGCUUUCCUAUAGUUUCGUUUCUACAGAACAGAAACUACACACUGUGUAGUCAAUCCCCACAAACAGUGAACACAGCAACUGCAGCACUGCUCCCGUCAGAACCUCCACUAACUGGUCCAGACUGAGAAUCAACCAUCUUGACUAAUAGACACCCAGAGACAUUCAAGAUGGCUGCUCGUCCUUUUGACUAUACUGGGCGUGUCUCAACGUAUCAGAAGAAAAAAUUUAAAAAAGAAACUCUGCAUUCACAUCCAGAUGAACUUUUUUAUGAUGUAAAACAAACUACUACUGCUACUACUACAACAACAACAAAAAGCAACUUGAUUCUCUUUACUGAACAUAAAGAGAGCUGGAGACAGGCAAUAGUUGCAGAAUACCCUGACCACGAGGAAGUCGAACUACCCAUGGUCAAACUUGGGCUCAAAAGCAAAGGAACUGUUUGCAUAUACCACAAUGGGAUGAUUGUCAUUCAUGGUUCAAAACAAAAACUUGAUAAUUUUGAGGUUGAUUUCAGAAGAUUGGAUGAGCACAUGAGACAACUGAGAGUGGAGGAAUAAUGACCCUGGUGCCUGAUUCUCUAGGGAGGAAUGAUAUUUAAAUUAAAGAUGAUAUUUAAAAAAGAAAAAAGUUAAAUAUUUUAAAGUUUUGAUGAAAAGAAACCAGAUAAUAAGGCUCUUUAUGCAUAAAAAGCAUAACUGACUUACAGUAAGGCUUCCUAUCAUUUUAACGGUUUAAAAAAAAAAAAAAUCUUAGUGAUUACUGUAUUGUUAUUUGAAAACAAAUCAUCGUUUUUUGGCAUUCCUCUCCUAUUCGUUUUAGCUACAGAUAACAUUCAAAUAUCAAACUGUUCAGCUACAUAAAGAGAUGUGUGGAUCUACUCUAUUUUCCCCUUUUAUUUAGACAUAUUCCGCUAUAUAUGUAUGUUUCAGCAUUCAGCAUUAUAUGCAGAUCUUUAGCGCAAUACAUUAUGGGUACUGCACCAUAAGAGAAACUGGUAUAAGGAGUGACCCAUGAUUGAUAAAAUGAUUUUGCAUUAAAAUUUAUGACAUUUACAUCAGAGCCGUACCUUUCAAACUGUUGCAACUUUCAGCUUUUUGUUAAAUUAAUAAUAUCUUAAAUAUGAUAAUACUAUUAAGCUUUUAUACAAAAUUAAUUUGCAUAUUUUGUACUUUUUCUCAUAUAGCCAUAUUCAGUUGUUCCCUUGUAUUAACCACUUUUAGCUGUUGUUUAAAAUGUUUAAGCUUCUCUUGGGGAAUAAAUUCAAUAUCAUAGCAUUCAGCAUUUUAUGCAAACUUACUGUGUAAUUGUGGGCACCCUAACAGAAACUGAUGUAAGAAGGAGUAAUGUUUGCAAUGUCCAAUAAAAAAGUUUCUGCAUUUGAAUAUUUACCUUUGCA